Molecule: ribosomal RNA, 429 nt
Filed under: uncultured bacterium
Lineage: Bacteria
Description: bacterial SSU rRNA
Rfam family: Bacterial small subunit ribosomal RNA
Source: RNAcentral
GGGGAAUUUUGGACAAUGGGGGCAACCCUGAUCCAGCCAUGCCGCGUGAGUGAAGAAGGCCUUCGGGUUGUAAAGCUCUUUCGGCCGGGAAGAAAUCGGCGACUCUAACAUAGUCGCUGGAUGACGGUACCGGACUAAGAAGCACCGGCUAACUACGUGCCAGCAGCCGCGGUAAUACGUAGGGUGCGAGCGUUAAUCGGAAUUACUGGGCGUAAAGCGUGCGCAGGCGGUUUUGUAAGACAGUGGUGAAAUCCCCGGGCUCAACCUGGGAACUGCCAUUGUGACUGCAAGGCUGGAGUGCGGCAGAGGGGGAUGGAAUUCCGCGUGUAGCAGUGAAAUGCGUAGAUAUGCGGAGGAACACCGAUGGCGAAGGCAAUCCCCUGGGCCUGCACUGACGCUCAUGCACGAAAGCGUGGGGAGCAAACAGGA